GCGAGAAUCCACAUCUCGCGGCCAAAGAAUCCACUGCACUAGCUGUGCACCCCAUUGCCAAUUAAUAUAGAAUUUGCUGCCCCCCGCGGCCAAUCGCCCACAGGGGCUCUCUCGCAGCCUCUCAGAGUGAUUCAGUUGCUUGCCUGCCGGUCGAUCGGUCGAGAUGCCCCUAUAUAAAGAGCCCCAGAUGCACAGCCAUGGCCGCCAGAAUCAAAUGUUCUAACACCUCUCUCACGAUGUCGAUGAGGAGGAAGAGGAGGAGGAGGAAGAAGAAGAGGUGCCAAGAACAGCAGCUUGAUCGGCUGUGUGCGAGUGUGUGUGUGUUUGAGUGUGCCAGGAAGCUAGCUAGCUAGCUAGCUAAGCUGCAGCUGCACGCAGCAGGCCGGGGUGAAGCUAGCUAGCAUGCUUGCCAUGGCUUCCGCCGGGAGCGGUAGUAGCUCCGGUGGCCGGGGUGCUGGUCCGGCGGUGCAGCGGCGGCGGCAGAAGAAGAAGAAGAAAGAAGGCAAGUCUUAUCGGCAAGGGAAGGCUAAGCCUUUCUUCCAGGUCUCCCUCUCUCCAUCUAAAUCUGUGUUUGGAGGAGGAGGAGGAGGGGGCUAUCGUGUUAGCUAAAUUUUUUCUUUUCCUCCAUGGUGUGUUCUUCCUCGUUCGUUCGUUCGUUCUUGGCAACCUGCGUGCUGCGUGCAUGGUCGAUCGUCUGCUGAUGUAUGCGUCGUGCCUGACAGUGUGUUGGUCAUGGGUUCAGCUUAAUUAGAUCGAUGAUGUCCAGCUUCAUGCAUGUACGUGUGUCAGUGUGAGUGAUCGAGUGAGAGUGAGGGUGUUGCAGUUUGAUUUGUGUCUGUUGGGCAUGUGUGCUGGCUGUGUUAGUUUGGGUUCAGCUAGAAGAUUGUGUUGUGGUGUGAGAGUGAAUGAGUCUAAAAAUGUGAAAUAAAAUUAUCCAGAGCAGAUGAUGUUUACUGCGUUAGUGCUAGCUGUGUAUGUGCUCUUGUUCUCUGAUAAAUGGUACAGAUAUGAGGCACUGUGCUACUGCUACUGGAGUAUCUGAUAAGUUAUAU
Molecule: long non-coding RNA, 1052 nt
Filed under: Oryza brachyantha (malo sina)
Lineage: Eukaryota; Viridiplantae; Streptophyta; Magnoliopsida; Poales; Poaceae
Description: long non-coding RNA (OBRA_LNC000499)
Source: RNAcentral